This 331-nucleotide long non-coding RNA is filed under the name Rattus norvegicus (Norway rat). RNAcentral describes it as "long non-coding RNA NONRATT009587". The record is from RNAcentral. Lineage: Eukaryota; Metazoa; Chordata; Mammalia; Rodentia; Muridae.
UGGGGUCGACGUUUGCUCUACCGGAACAGCUUAGCUCAUUCCUCCCCUUCCUUUACCCGUGGCGCGGAGGCUUGGGGCGGCGGCUGCGUCAGCAAGGGCGGUGGCGGCGGCGGCAGCUGCAGUGACAUGUCCAGCAUGAAUCCCGAAUAGGGGACACAUGAGUCUCUCAGUCACCUUUUGUUUCCGUGAUUAUUUAUUCAAGUUACUCCUGAUUGGCGACUCUGGGGUUGGAAAGUCUUGCCUUCUCCUUAGGUUUGCGGAUGACACGUAUACGGAAAGCUACAUCAGCACGAUUGGUGUGGAUUUCAAGAUACGGACUAUAGAGCUAGAC